GACGAACGCUGGCGGCGUGCCUAAUACAUGCAAGUAGAACGCUGAAGGAGGAGCUUGCUUCUCCGGAUGAGUUGCGAACGGGUGAGUAACGCGUAGGUAACCUGCCUGGUAGCGGGGGAUAACUAUUGGAAACGAUAGCUAAUACCGCAUAACAGUAGAUAUUGCAUGAUAUCUGCUUGAAAGGUGCAAUUGCAUCACUACCAGAUGGACCUGCGUUGUAUUAGCUAGUUGGUGAGGUAACGGCUCACCAAGGCGACGAUACAUAGCCGACCUGAGAGGGUGAUCGGCCACACUGGGACUGAGACACGGCCCAGACUCCUACGGGAGGCAGCAGUAGGGAAUCUUCGGCAAUGGACGGAAGUCUGACCGAGCAACGCCGCGUGAGUGAAGAAGGUUUUCGGAUCGUAAAGCUCUGUUGUAAGAGAAGAACGAGUGUGAGAGUGGAAAGUUCACACUGUGACGGUAUCUUACCAGAAAGGGACGGCUAACUACGUGCCAGCAGCCGCGGUAAUACGUAGGUCCCGAGCGUUGUCCGGAUUUAUUGGGCGUAAAGCGAGCGCAGGCGGUUAGAUAAUUCUGAAGUUAAAGGCUGUGGCUUAACCAUAGUACGCUUUGUAAACUGUUUAUCUUGAGUGCAAGAGGGGAGAGUGGAAUUCCAUGUGUAGCGGUGAAAUGCGUAGAUAUAUGGAGGAACACCGGUGGGCGAAAGCGGCUCUCUGGCUUGUAUCUGACGCUGAUGCUCGUAAGCGUGGGGAGCAAACUGUG
RNAcentral lists this ribosomal RNA (765 nucleotides) under uncultured Streptococcus sp. RNAcentral's name for it is "bacterial SSU rRNA". It matches the Rfam family "Bacterial small subunit ribosomal RNA", at positions 28 to 777 of the family's 1533-position model. The record is from RNAcentral. Lineage: Bacteria; Bacillati; Bacillota; Bacilli; Lactobacillales; Streptococcaceae.